AUUGAACGCUGGCGGCAUGCCUUACACAUGCAAGUCGAACGGUAACGCGGGGCAACCUGGCGACGAGUGGCGAACGGGUGAGUAAUAUAUCGGAACGUGCCCAGUAGUGGGGGAUAGCCCGGCGAAAGCCGGAUUAAUACCGCAUACGACCUACGGGUGAAAGCGGGGGAUCGCAAGACCUCGCGCUAUUGGAGCGGCCGAUAUCAGAUUAGCUAGUUGGUGGGGUAAAAGGCUACCAAGGCGACGAUCUGUAGCUGGUCUGAGAGGACGACCAGCCACACUGGGACUGAGACACGGCCCAGACUCCUACGGGAGGCAGCAGUGGGGAAUUUUGGACAAUGGGCGCAAGCCUGAUCCAGCCAUGCCGCGUGUGGGAAGAAGGCCUUCGGGUUGUAAACCACUUUUGUCAGGGAAGAAACGGUCUGGUCUAAUAAACCGGACUAAUGACGGUACCUGAAGAAUAAGCACCGGCUAACUACGUGCCAGCAGCCCCGUAA
This 497-nucleotide ribosomal RNA is filed under the name uncultured bacterium. RNAcentral's name for it is "partial 16S ribosomal RNA". It matches the Rfam family "Bacterial small subunit ribosomal RNA", at positions 29 to 523 of the family's 1533-position model. The record is from RNAcentral.